GGUUUUAUAUAUGAUAUACAAGUACAAUCGAGGAAUAUAACGUGAGGCCUAAACAUGACGUAGACUUGUGCAUUCUUUUUAAACUUUAUCUUGUACUUUUGUGCACUGUUUACAAAAUUUUAGUCGUAUGCAUAUAAAGAAUAAUCCAUGAAAAACUGUAUUCCCAUAAUUGCCACUGGCAUAGGUGGUGCUACAGUUCUAAUUUAAAUUUCACAUUUCAUUUUUUAAUUUCUCAUAUACAUUUAAAAUUGCAUAAGUCAUUAAUGUUUCUGAACUGAUGUAUAGCAUUGACUCUUAAUGGUCAGUUACAAUUAUUCCCUGUGACACAAUUACCAGUAUUCUUAUCAUCUUUUAAAAUAACUCAAAUAUCUAAAUCUGAAUCUAAGCAUUUUGUAUUUUAUUCUGUUAUUCUUUCAUAAUUAGGAAAAACCAAAGAGAAGGGGUCCAAAUAAACUGAUGAUCAGAUCACAUGAUAAGCUACAUGAACCAUCACCAACUGCAUCUUCUUUUUCUGAAAGUACAGCUUCAGUUGACACUGUUUCAGAGACUACCAAUCAGCAUGAAUCUCUCCUAGAGUCAUUGAGAGUUGUUGAAGCACCAGAGAGGAAUGGUCAUGAUUAUUUACAAACACUGUCUGACAGGAAGAGUUUCAAGAAUUUCGAAGAUCUAAGUUCAAGUGACCCUGAUUUCACUACAUUUUUCAAUUCUGUUCAAAAAGACUCUAAGAUUUACCAAGAAAUGUGUUUCAAAAAUCAGAUCUUCAAAAUGGAAGUCAUACAGCAAAAUAAGCAAUUAUUUAAUUUUUACACUGGCUUGGAUCUUGAUGUUUUCAACUCAUUAUUUACUUAUCUACAACGAAAAGCUUCAUCAAUGCAGUACUUCCAUGGUGAAAGAACAACAUAUGUCCAACAUUUAAUCUGGAUGGCUACGGUGUGAAGAGAAAGCCUGGUGUCACCAGGCAGCUUAGUCUACAAGAAGAAUUCUUCAGUGUUUUGUAUCGUUUACAGACAGGACAUUUACUGGAAGAAUGUAGUCUUCGCUUUGGUGUGAACUCCAGUCAGUUCUGCAGAAAUUUCACAACCUGUAUCAAUCUCUUAUCUAUGGAACUGGAACUUUUAUGUAAAAACGCAGAGCCAGAUGAAGAUGUGGACUUGCAAGUUGCUUCAAACCAUUUCAAACUUGAGAAUUAUUUUGGACUGUACAGAACUGUUCAGUGAAACACCUUCCAGUGUGGAAUACCAUAAACAGACUCACAGCAAUUAUAAACACCACUCUACAAUAAAAUUUCUAGUUGGGAUCCAUCCCUCAGGGGCUGUGACAUACAUCUCUAAAGCUUAUCCUGGAAAGUCGUCGGACAAACAGAUCACACAAGAAAGCCUGGACCUUAUUGACUCCCUUAUACCAGGACAAAAAGUUAUGGUGGACAGGGGCUUUACGAUUGAAGAGGAUCUCCCUUGUGGUGUCAAAUUAGUUAUUCCUUCUUUCAAGGGUGCAAGCAGACAACAACUUACCGCAAAUGAGCUAUCAGAGUCAAAAGUCAUCUCCAGGGCACGAGUUCAUGUGGAACGAUGUAUGCGUAGGAUUAAGUCUUUCAACAUUCUAAGACAAGAAUUAAAACUAUCGCAAGUUGAUGUAUACGAGCAAAUAUUCAAAACCUGUGCCUAUCUUGUUACAUGUAAUUUUCAAAAUCCUUAUUUAAAGUCUGAUGAUUAUGGUGUUUCUGAACUAAAAAUAAUGCUGAUACAUAAUUGAGAUGCAUAUAUUAUAUGUUAUGCAAGUUCAACUGUCAUUGUCUGAUGUAGUGUAUACAAAAGUAUUGAGUUGGAAAAUGAUUCUGCUCAAUAUACACACCACCAAGUUCUAUUUGUGUGAUAAAUACUUGUACCCUGUAUCAUGAUUUACCGUAAUUUCAAUUUAAUAUUAAUUUAAUAAAAAUUAAUGGGUUAUUUUUUCUAUUUAUUUCAUAUUAUCAAAUAUAUGUUCAUAUCACUACAAACUUGUUUAAAAUCAUGUUUUAAUAAGGUUUGGGGAUCGAUAUUUUCAUAAUUCAAAACUUCAAGAGCAAAGAAAAACUCAGAAUUGAUUUCAAGGAAACUGUGAAUUGUCUGACUUUUAAAAUAUUAUGUCACAGUUCCUUACACAAGUAGGACAAUACCACUGACAAUCUAAAUCUUCAUACUCGGUUGGAUCAUAGUACACACAUGACCAAUGAUACCAUUUUCUACAUCCACAGUUGCACUGACAUAAAAUGCCCUUAUCCUUUUCUUUCUCCAAAGAUCUUAAACAGUGCCCAAAUUUGAUACUCAAGUCUGAGACGGCAGCUGCCUCUGACUCAUUAGGAGGAGCACUCAUCUUGAUUAGGUGUGGCCCUAGAAAUUUUUCAAAAAAAAAGAGAAAUGUUUUCAAAUACAGUAUUCCAGUACAUUUGGUCAAAUUCAAUGACUUCAUGAACAUAAUCAGCAGGUGACCAUACAAUGAAGUGGGUUUUGUGGAUAUUCGUCACGCCCAUCUGUACCUGAACUUGAGUGUAAU
Magallana angulata is the source of this 2532-nucleotide long non-coding RNA. RefSeq lists it as uncharacterized. The transcript has 3 exons. The record is from RefSeq and is a predicted model, not a curated record. NCBI's taxonomy places the organism in Eukaryota, Metazoa, Mollusca, Bivalvia, Ostreida, Ostreidae.